AACGAACGCUGGCGGCAUGCCUAACACAUGCAAGUCGAACGAGACCUUCGGGUCUAGUGGCGCACGGGUGCGUAACGCGUGGGAACCUGCCCUUAGGUUCGGAAUCACUCCCCGAAAGGUGUGCUAAUACCGGAUAAUGUCUUCGGACCAAAGAUUUAUCGCCUUUGGAUGGGCCCGCGUUGGAUUAGCUAGUUGGUAGGGUAAUAGCCUACCAAGGCGACGAUCCAUAGCUGGUCUGAGAGGAUGAUCAGCCACACUGGGAAUGAGACACGGCCCAGACUCCUACGGGAGGGAGGAGUGGGGAAUAUUGGACAAUGGGCGAAAGUCUGAUCCAGCAAUGCCGCGUGAGUGAUGAAGGCCUUAGGGUUGUAAAGCUCUUUUACACGGGAUGAUAAUGACAGUACCGGGAGAAUAAGCACCGGCUAACUCCGUG
This 433-nucleotide ribosomal RNA is filed under the name uncultured bacterium. RNAcentral's name for it is "partial 16S ribosomal RNA". It matches the Rfam family "Bacterial small subunit ribosomal RNA", at positions 29 to 507 of the family's 1533-position model. The record is from RNAcentral.